This is a non-coding RNA of Misgurnus anguillicaudatus (oriental weatherfish), 1008 nucleotides long. The record is from RefSeq and is a predicted model, not a curated record. Lineage: Eukaryota; Metazoa; Chordata; Actinopteri; Cypriniformes; Cobitidae.
GUAUUUUUUUCACCUGGGAAUGGAAAGGACAAGAUAUUUCAUUUUCAUUUAUUUCAUUAUUUUCAAAUUAUACUUUAUUCAUACUCUUUUUAGCUAUUCAGCUAUACUCUGGCUUUUAUUUUAGUAAUGUUUAUAUCCUGCCAAUGUAUACAUUAAUCAUUGCAUUUAUCUGUUUAAAAGAUGUCAGGGAAAAAGCAAAGAAGUAUUUUUUCAUUCUGGGCACCAAAGGGUCAGCCCCCUAUAAAGGUUGCCAGAUCAGAGGAGACAGUGGAAGAUGUGGUGGCAGAGACUACAAGAAAAACAGUAGGGAAGAAAUCAGAAGAGAACAGAGAGAAUAUAGCAUUUAAGUUUUGAUGGUCACUAAACAAACCCUGUUGUUUCUCCCACUAUAUCUUAAACAGUUCAGUGCAUAUUGUUGUUUUAGGUUUGCUGAAUUGCUUCCAUACCAGGGACCCCAAGAGCAUGAUCAACUUAGUGAGGAGUUCCUCGAAUAUCAAUUGAUGGACAUCACUAUGCCCCAAGACCCAUCCACUUUUGACAUUGAGGGUUUUUGGGGAAAUAUGACAUCAGUAAAGAACAGGGUGACUGGAUUAAGCAGAUUUGGAAGGCUGUCCAAGAUUGCCAAACUGGUUUUAGUUCUUCCCCACUCAAAUGCAGAUGCAGAGAGAGUGUUUUCCAUGGUUGGUUUGAACAAAACCAAAACUAGGAAUAGUUUGGCUCUGGAUGGAACACUCUCUUCCAUCAUGAUGGUGAAAAUGGCAAGCAUUGAACCACAGUGCUUUAAGUGGGAGCCGCCUACCUCUGUAAUCAAGGCCUCAAAACAUGCAACAAACACUUACAAUAUAAAACAUUCAUAAACCAAAUGUACUCUCUCACACAUGCUCACACAAACACACCUUGUAUUGUAAGUAUGCUCAGGGCAAGUUCUGCAAUGUUGCUGUUCAGUUGGCUCAUUUGGGGCAAUUUUUUAUAUAUUUGUAUUUUUGAAAUAAAACAAUGUAUUUAAUU